AUUGAACGCUGGCGGAAUGCUUUACACAUGCAAGUCGAACGGCAGCACGGACUUCGGUCUGGUGGCGAGUGGCGAACGGGUGAGUAACAUAUCGGAACGUAUCCAAUAAUGGGGGAUAACGAGUCGAAAGAUUCGCUAAUACCGCAUACGCCCUACGGGGGAAAGCUGGGGACCUUCGGGCCUGGCGUUAAUGGAGCGGCCGAUAUCUGAUUAGCUAGUUGGUGAGGUAAAGGCUCACCAAGGCGACGAUCAGUAGCUGGUCUGAGUGGACGACCAGCCACACUGGAGAUGAGACACGGUCCAGACUCCUACGGGAGGCAGCAGUGGGGAAUUUUGGACAAUGGGCGCAAGCCUGAUCCAGCCAUUCCGCGUGAGUAAAGAAGGCCUUCGGGUUGUAAAGCUCUUUCGCAAGGGAAGAAAACUUAGCCACUAACAUUGGUUGAGGUUGACGGUACCUUGAUAAGAAGCACCGGCUAACUACGUGCCAGCCGCCGCAGUAA
RNAcentral lists this ribosomal RNA (500 nucleotides) under uncultured bacterium. RNAcentral describes it as "partial 16S ribosomal RNA". It matches the Rfam family "Bacterial small subunit ribosomal RNA", at positions 30 to 523 of the family's 1533-position model. The record is from RNAcentral.